UACGGAGGGUGCAAGCGUUAAUCGGAAUUACUGGGCGUAAAGCGUGCGCAGGCGGUUGUGCAAGACCGAUGUGAAAUCCCCGGGCUUAACCUGGGAAUGGCAUUGGUGACUGUACGGCUAGAGUGUGUCAGAGGGGAGUAGAAUUCCACGUGUAGCAGUGAAAUGCGUAGAGAUGUGGAGGAAUACCGAUGGCGAAGGCAGCCCCCUGGGAUAACACUGACGCUCAUGCACGAAAGCGUGGGGAGCAAACAGG
This 253-nucleotide ribosomal RNA is filed under the name uncultured bacterium. RNAcentral describes it as "partial 16S ribosomal RNA". It matches the Rfam family "Bacterial small subunit ribosomal RNA", at positions 524 to 776 of the family's 1533-position model. The record is from RNAcentral.